RNAcentral lists this long non-coding RNA (600 nucleotides) under Pan troglodytes (chimpanzee). RNAcentral describes it as "long non-coding RNA NONPTRT001821". The record is from RNAcentral. Lineage: Eukaryota; Metazoa; Chordata; Mammalia; Primates; Hominidae.
CGAGCCGGGACCCGAGUCCUCCGGUAUCCCAGCAGCCACCGGAGGCAGUGAGGAAUCCACUGAAGACCUACAUUUCCCGGAAGGUUAACAGCCCCCUUCUCAGUUUUCCUGAUGCUACAUGAACUCAAGUGGAACUCUGACUGCCUUGAGAGCAUCCCACCAUCCAUUGCUGCUGCAUCAAGGUAUUAAAAAGAGAGACAGAAGGAAGAGGCACUUGCUGUAGGAUUGGAACCUAGAGUGCCCUGAGGCAGGAUUCUGACCCUCAAAAUGGGACCUUUUUUGGUGAUUGAUCCUGUCCAGAUGAGACUUCUCUUGGUUUGAGAUCUUCCACUGAGAGGCCGUUUCACCAACCAGGCUCUGAAAUUUCUGCUCAGCCUGAGUCUGGAGGGAUUCAGCUCCUACUCCCCCUCCUGGAGGCUGCCCAGAUGCCCCCCAGCUCUGUGCCCCUACCCAGCCAUCAGAGUCCCUUCCAGCCUUUGUCCAGGCUGGCCUGUCCUCCAGGACACUUGGCAGCUGGGACCCCACAGGACUGUCCCUCUGCUCUGCUCCAGCCUCGAAUCCUAAUGUCCCGGCUCUUGCCGUCCAACACUGUGUCUGCCC